RNAcentral lists this ribosomal RNA (270 nucleotides) under uncultured bacterium. RNAcentral describes it as "partial 16S ribosomal RNA". It matches the Rfam family "Bacterial small subunit ribosomal RNA", at positions 29 to 317 of the family's 1533-position model. The record is from RNAcentral.
AACGAACGCUGGCGGCAGGCCUAACACAUGCAAGUCGAACGAGAAGCCACCUUCGGGUGGUGGACAGUGGCAGACGGGUGAGUAACGCGUGGGAACGUGCCUUUCGGUUCGGGAUAACCCAGGGAAACUUGGGCUAAUACCGGAUACGCCCUUCGGGGAAAGAUUCAUUGCCGAAAGAUCGGCCCGCGUCGGAUUAGCUAGUUGGUGGGGUAAAAGCCUACCAAGGCGACGAUCCGUAGCUGGUCUGAGAGGAUGACCAGCCACACUGGG